RNAcentral lists this long non-coding RNA (443 nucleotides) under Mytilus galloprovincialis (Mediterranean mussel). Lineage: Eukaryota; Metazoa; Mollusca; Bivalvia; Mytilida; Mytilidae. The record is from RNAcentral.
GCAAGAAUUUAUAAAUAUCAUAAUAUGAUAUAAAAGAUAAAUUUCAUUUCAUUUUUCCAAAAGAAAUAAAAUGAAGAAAAAAGAUAACUAUUCUGAAUAUUUCUAAAAAAUCUGACUUUAUGGGGUACAAAAAAAGUUACGAUACAUACUCAUUGCAAGCCCUCAAAUUACAAAAUUGAGGUUCCUUUUCUAAAUCAUCAAUGGAACUGAGGACAAGUGAAUCUUGAUAACCUUAUUGUUAAAAGAUUUGUUGUUUUUUGUAUAUUAUUCAAUUUGUAUUUUGUAUGUACAGCACCAAUAAAGAAGCUGACUUUUUUUUUUAUACUAUACAACAAUACAGAUUAGCUAAGCAUGUUCAAGAAUAUUGGACAUUUCCAAGCGAAAUAACACAACUUGAUAAGAAAUUAUUAUAAAAACUCUGAUAGUUUUAAAUUGCUAACCGA